AUUGAACGCUGGCGGCAGGCCUAACACAUGCAAGUCGAGCGGAUGAAGGGAGCUUGCUCCUGGAUUCAGCGGCGGACGGGUGAGUAAUGCCUAGGAAUCUGCCUGGUAGUGGGGGAUAACGUCCGGAAACGGGCGCUAAUACCGCAUACGUCCUGAGGGAGAAAGUGGGUGAUCUUCGGACCUAACGGUAACAGGGGAGCCUAGGUCGGAUUAGCUAGUUGGUGGGGUAACGGCCUACCAAGGCGACUAUCCAUAACUGGUCUGAGAGGAUGAUCAGUCACACUGGGAGAGGGACAAGGCCCAGACAUCUGCGGGAGGGAGCAGUGGUGAAUCAGAGACAAUGGGGGAAAGCAGGAGCUAGCCAGGCCGUAGGAGAGAUGAAGGCGGGAGGAUGGGAAAGAACUUUAAGCCGGGAAGAUAAGGAGGGUACAAGAAGAAGAAGCCCCGCCAAACUCGGU
This 458-nucleotide ribosomal RNA is filed under the name uncultured bacterium. Its description in RNAcentral is "partial 16S ribosomal RNA". It matches the Rfam family "Bacterial small subunit ribosomal RNA", at positions 29 to 506 of the family's 1533-position model. The record is from RNAcentral.